CAGUGAUAAAAGGCUGACUGCCUACAUAAACUGAAGUGGGCUGCAAUGCUGUUAUUUUGUUUAUUGCUCUUUUACUGCAGUGGUCAAAUAGUUCCUUUGAGACCAGAUACCGGUUUUCUGCCAUCUGCACAAUCAGUGUCUGAAAACUUGUAUCAAAUGAAUCACUAUGGAAAAUAUUUAUGUAAUGAGAGGACUAAUUAAAUGAAAUGUUGCCUCUCAAAACUGAAUAGGAAAUGCAGAUGAUUAAUAACAAAUGAAAAAUAACCUGCCGUCUUUCUUCUUAGCAGAUAGUAGCACUUUCCUUGGGGAUCUUGACUUGCAUAAAUCCUGUGCAUCUCUGAGCAGGGGUCAGUUAAACAGAACUUUUGUCCAGUUGUGUUAAGGUUUUACAUUUCCAUUUGUGAAAUUCAUAUCUAAAUGCCUCUGAAUAAGUUUAACCACAUAUAUACACUUGCAGGCUGUAAACACCUACCCAGAAAGCUUAUAUUAAGAGCUUAUUUUUGUGUUUUCUGAAUCAGGAAGUUCAGAAACAAAAUCGUAACUUCAAACAAAAAAUAAAAUUUGGUCACAUAAAAUUAUAUUCAAGUAAAAGAAAACCGUGAAAGUUAAUAAUCAGUAGAGGUAAUCUGUUUUAUUCCAGAUACAAUUAUUACAUUUUAAUGUAGGAUGUUGGAGGAAUUUCUCUAAUAAAAAUCUAAAUCUGCUACGUUUUAAGUAUUGAACUCUGGGAGGGUGGUUCCAUGGUAUGAUUUUGACAUGUUUUUGGAAUUCUGAUAUUAAAGUUUAAAAGAUGUACCUCUGUAUGGAAAGAGUAUUGCCUUCUUUGUAGGUUAUCACAAUACAGAACUGACAUAAGCCUUCAACAAUUUGAUGAUGACAUAAGGGUUUACUUUAAUAAAGUAUGCUGAAGAGGAGUUCCUGAGAUUUUAAACUUUUCAGAGGAGUCAGUUUUGAAUAAAUUUCACUAUGUAUAUUGAAGUGAGGACAAAAUUAUUUCAUUUAUCAUUAAAAUAAAAUUAGAAAGUAUUUUAAGUACAAACAACUUCUAAUUGAAUGGUUUUAAUUAAAAACACUUCCUAUUGAAAAAUCAUGAAAUUACAUUGUACACAUUCUGAAAUGCUUACAAAAGUAUUUUCAAGAUAAGAAAAUAAACUAGUGUUCAAAUGAAAUUAUGUAUUAAGUAUGGCCUUGAAAACACAGAUAAUAAUGAAAACUUUUUUAUUAUUACACUCACACGAGUCUGUUAAUUCUAGGAAAAACUCUGAAUCCCUUGAUAUUUAUAUAUUCACAUGCUUGAUGAGGUAGCUGGAGGGGCUAGUGUGCAUCAUUUUCUGAUGUAUGUAAUAUUAUUUAUAAGUAUGUAAUAUGAAAGUUAUGCAUAUUUUGAUAUUUAAUGCAUUUUUGUUUUUUUUCAAAACAAUGUUCUUCCUGUCAAAAUAGGCUGCUCUCAAUAAAAUGGAACUAAAUAAGCAAACCGAGACCCAGGGAGAUAGUUAUAUAUAUACCUUCUCUAUGAUUAUGGAUUUCACCCCAAAAGGAUUUUCUCAUCUACAGAGAAUAGAAUAUGAAGAAUGAGUUACUAAGAACCUAAUGAGUUACUAAGCUGCUGAUAUAUUAAUGAGUUACUAAGUAAAUGAUGUAUGGAUGGAUGAGUGGAUUUCUAAAAAUAUACAUGAGGAACCAUAAAUUUGUAGCAGCAGGUAAAUAAAUGAAAACCAGUGCCUAUGAGAUUUACAGUUUGGAAGCACUACACUUGUUCUGAGAGUCUUCACAAAGUAAAAGAGAAGAAUAUUAUGUAUUAUAUAAUUCUCAUUUUCUGAAGGAAUAAAAUGUGUUAUUUAGAAGAGUUUUUUUUCUGGUGUAAGAUUAUUACAGAAAUAUGAAAUAGUUUUUAUACAAGGGAGUUUAUGUACAUCAGAGGAUUUCAACAGAGAUCUUACAAACAGUGCACAAACAUUGCUCAUAUGGUCAUGGGGAGGGUAUUUUUACAAUCAGCUAUUCAUCAAAUUAAAUGGCAUGUAAUGCAAGUUGCUCCAUUAUUAACAAUGUAACCUCUGAUCACUCGGUAAAGGUGGCAUCUGUCAGAUUUCUCCACCGUAAAAUUCCAUUUUCUGCUUUACAACUAAUGAGUAGAGUUGGUUCUCCUAUAACUCUUCUUUUGAAAAUGUAAAUAUGUUCCUUUUUUUUUUGGUCUUUGUGUCUUUGUGUCUUUUCCAGGCCCGCACCCACGGCAUUUAGAGGUUCCCAGGCUAGGGGUCUAAUCAGAGCUGUAGCCGCCAGCCUAUGCCACAGCCACAGCAAUGCGGGAUCCAAGCCAAGUAUACGAUCUGCACUACAGCUCAUGGCAAGGCCAGAUCCUUAACCUACUGAGUGAGGCCAUGGGAUGAACCCGAAACCUUGUCGUUCUUGGUUGGGUUCAUUAACCACUGAGCCAUGACGGGAACUCCAUGAAAAUGUAAAUUGUUGUAAUGUGAAUGAUACAUUAGGGAAUCAGUGGAGCAUGACAAUUACAUAUUUGUUUGUGUGUAAUUUUGUCAUGAAGAAAACCACGUGAACACAGAAAACUAUAUCCAGUUGGACCAAGCCGUGUAGCAAAAUGCAAAACUCAUACAUGCACACACCUCAAGCAUCUGCUCACAACCUCGGUUGGCCAUGUGUGUAAUGAGACAAACCCAUUCGUAUUUGAUGUUACAACUUCCUUCCCAAUUUCAGAUAACCUUUCUUUCACUAUUUCACAAUAACUCACAAGUUGCAAUUCAUUCAACACCCAUAACUAGAAGCAAAUUUCAAGUGUUUUUCAAGGUAAAGUGCCAUAUUUAUUGUUAUAUCAUAUACAUAUUAGCCACUUAAUAUGCUGCCAUUUUUAUCAGGUUUCUAUCUUUAAAAAAAAAUGAGUUCUUUCUGCAUAAGCCCAAUAGUUUUUAAUUGUGCAAUUUUACAUAGUGUGGUGAUUUUUAGGAACACAUAUCACGUAAUAGUAGAACUGAUUUUAAUCUGUUGUAAAUGCUUUAAAGAGUAUGAAAAUAUCCUAUUUUCCAUCAAGAUUUAACCCAUUAAUUUUAGCAUCCAUUGAUGAUUAUUGUCUGAUAAUAGUAAGGCAAUUUUCUAGCUGUCCUACAUUUAAAUAGUUGAUAUUCUUCCAUAAGGGUAAACUUUUCACUUCUUUUGUCUUUAACAUAUGCGUGAAUUUGUGAAUCAUGUUUAAAAUUCAGUGCGUUAUAGUCAUUUUUUUGGGUGAAUAAAUUUUUCAAAUUCAUUUAGUAGAUGGUUUUUUUUAUUUGUUUUCUGGCUCUUAUGUCUCUGAUACCUUCCUACCAUUUUUUGAGAUGUUUCUCAUUUUCUCACUCAGGGAGCUAUUCCAGGCUUAUUGUGUACAUUUUUCCUGAAUCAGUUCUGGAAUCAAAAUCUUUUAUUUUCAUUAGUUCCAUUUAGUUAACAAUUAUACUUAGAAAUUGAGACCUGCUACAUGUGCUCAUUGCUAAGGGUCUCUAUAUAGCAUUCUGAAGGGCACUUGUUCUGAAACUCUUAUUUUUUGAGAUACGAAAGUGAGUUUCUAACAAAAGUGCAUUUCAUGUGGGUGUGAUUUAAAUUUUUUGCCCUUAUUUAGCCUUUGCCUUUGUUUUCCAUAAAUAAUAAUCAUUUUGACUCUUUUCCCUUUUAAAAGGACACUGGGAUAUACCUUCACCUACUUGUAUUACCUGGGCACCUUUAAAUAAUGGACUUCAAACAAAUUCUAUAACCCAAUGAUGUGUAGAAUGGUUUGAGGUCUAAUGUUGGGCUAAAGGCAGUUGUGGUCACAAGAAAAACAUAAUUUCAUCACAGAUUUUAUUUUAGGUAUAUUAUCUGAACAGUUUUCUAAAUAUUCUUGAAUGUUAGUGAAAACUAUCACUGCUAAUAGAAUAGCUGAGAUUUUGCUUUUGAAAAGGGAUAUUUAAAUAAUACUAGUCAAAAGAAAUAAAAAAGAUAAGAGUUCUCUUCUAUUGUGAUUAUCAUGAAAAAAUGUAUUUUAAAGCAUGGACAAUUACAUUAAAAAACUGAACUAGAGGCUUCACUAAACCUAAACAAUCAAAGUUUUCAGGAUUGUCAGUGGAUCUUAU
RNAcentral lists this long non-coding RNA (4097 nucleotides) under Sus scrofa (pig). Its description in RNAcentral is "lncRNA (ENSSSCG00000059809.1)". The record is from RNAcentral. Lineage: Eukaryota; Metazoa; Chordata; Mammalia; Artiodactyla; Suidae.